Long non-coding RNA from Daphnia carinata, 367 nucleotides. RefSeq lists it as uncharacterized. NCBI's taxonomy places the organism in Eukaryota, Metazoa, Arthropoda, Branchiopoda, Diplostraca, Daphniidae. The transcript has 3 exons. The record is from RefSeq and is a predicted model, not a curated record.
UGCGGUUAUUGGUUGCGUUCCCGCUAUUACACAUCAUGCCAUAAACGCGGAUUCCGGGCACACGAGCGUAGGCCGGCUGGUCAUGGCUCAUGGGCCCAUCUGCAAGAUUGGUGUGAACGGUGUAACAUCUGGUGUUCGUUGAAAAUCGAAAUAAAAUGCCUUGGCCGACUAGUGUGAUCGGCUACCCUACGAACAGCUCACCGGUUGAAUAGAGUAAGAUUUUCCGUAGCGUUUUCUACAUGAACUUACAGCUUCCUUGUACGUGGCAGUAAAAAAAGGGCCCUUAUGUACACGAAAUUCGAGGCCUACCCCCCUAAUUCCCGCCUGAAGGAGGAUAUGGGAAUAAUUAGAGAAACACAAGAAUAAG